ACGAAGGGGGCUAGCGUUGUUCGGAAUUACUGGGCGUAAAGGGCGCGUAGGCGGUGCGGUAAGUCACCUGUGAAACCUCUAGGCUCAACCUAGAGCCUGCAGGUGAAACUGCCGUGCUCGAAGGCAGGAGAGGGAAGUGGAAUUCCCGGUGUAGUGGUGAAAUGCGUAGAUAUCGGGAGGAACACCAGUGGCGAAGGCGACUUCCUGGCCUGUUCUUGACGCUGAGGCGCGAAAGCUAGGGGAGCAAACGGGA
RNAcentral lists this ribosomal RNA (253 nucleotides) under uncultured prokaryote. RNAcentral's name for it is "partial 16S ribosomal RNA". It matches the Rfam family "Bacterial small subunit ribosomal RNA", at positions 525 to 777 of the family's 1533-position model. The record is from RNAcentral.